GACGAACGCUGGCGGCGUGCUUAACACAUGCAAGUCGAACGGAAAGGCCCUGCUUUUGUGGGGUGCUCGAGUGGCGAACGGGUGAGUAACACGUGAGUAACCUGCCCUUGACUUUGGGAUAACUUCAGGAAACUGGGGCUAAUACCGGAUAGGAGCUCCUGCUGCAUGGUGGGGGUUGGAAAGUUUCGGCGGUUGGGGAUGGACUCGCGGCUUAUCAGCUUGUUGGUGGGGUAGUGGCUUACCAAGGCUUUGACGGGUAGCCGGCCUGAGAGGGUGACCGGCCACAUUGGGACUGAGAUACGGCCCAGACUCCUUCGGGAGGCAGCAGUGGGGAAUAUUGCACAAUGGGCGGAAGCCUGAUGCAGCAACGCCGCGUGCGGGAUGACGGCCUUCGGGUUGUAAACCGCUUUCGCCUGUGACGAGGCGUGAGUGACGGUAAUGGGUAAAGAAGCACCGGCUAACUACGUG
This 468-nucleotide ribosomal RNA is filed under the name uncultured bacterium. RNAcentral's name for it is "partial 16S ribosomal RNA". It matches the Rfam family "Bacterial small subunit ribosomal RNA", at positions 28 to 507 of the family's 1533-position model. The record is from RNAcentral.